CCUACGGGAGGCAGCAGUGGGGAAUAUUGCGCAAUGGGCGAAAGCCUGACGCAGCGACGCCGCGUGAGGGAUGAAGGUCUUCGGAUCGUAAACCUCUGUCAGUAGGGAAGAACGGUCACUGUGCUAAUCAGCAGUGAAUUGACGGUACCUGCAAAGGAAGCACCGGCUAACUCCGUCCCAGCAGCCACGAUAAUACGGAGGGUGCUAGCGUUAAUCGGAAUUACUGGGCGUAAAGCGCUCGUAGGCGGUAUGUCAAGUCAAGGGUGAAAUCCCCGCGCGCAACGUGGGAACUGCCUUUGAAACGGGCAAACUGGAGUGUGUGAGAGGAUAGUGGAAGGCCAGGUGUAGGAGUGAAAUGCGUAGAUAUCUGGAGGAACAUCAGUGGCGAAGGCGACUAUCUGGCACAUAACUGACGCUGAGGAGCGAAAGCGUGGGUAGCAAACAGGAUUAGAUACCCUGGUAGUC
This 465-nucleotide ribosomal RNA is filed under the name uncultured bacterium. Its description in RNAcentral is "partial 16S ribosomal RNA". It matches the Rfam family "Bacterial small subunit ribosomal RNA", at positions 338 to 795 of the family's 1533-position model. The record is from RNAcentral.